GAUUGAACGCUGGCGGUAUGCUUAACACAUGCAAGUCGAACGGAAACGAUACUAGCUUGCUAGUAGGCGUCGAGUGGCGGACGGGUGAGUAACGCGUAGGAAUCUGCCUGAUAGUGGGGGAUAGCCCGAAGAAAUUCGGAUUAAUACCGCAUAAUCUAUUCGUAGUAAAGUGGGGGACUUUCGAGCCUCACGCUAUCAGAUGAGCCUGCGUAAGAUUAGCUAGUUGGUAGGGUAAAAGCCUACCAAGGCGACGAUCUUUAGCUGGUCUGAGAGGAUGAUCAGCCACAUCGGGACUGAGACACGGCCCGAACUCCUACGGGAGGCAGCAGUGGGGAAUAUUGGACAAUGGGGGCAACCCUGAUCCAGCAAUACCGCGUGUGUGAAGAAGGCCUGAGGGUUGUAAAGCACUUUCAAUUGUGAAGAAAAGCUAGUGGUUAAUAGCCAUUAGCCUUGACGUUAACUUUAGAAGAAGCACCGGCUAACUCCGUGCCAGCAGCCGCGGUAAUACGGAGGGUGCAAGCGUUAAUCGGAAUUACUGGGCGUAAAGCGUGCGUAGGCGGUUUAUUAAGUCAGAUGUGAAAGCCCCGGGCUUAACCUGGGAACUGCAUUUGAAACUGGUCAACUAGAGUAUGGUAGAGGAAAGUGGAAUUUCUGGUGUAGCGGUGAAAUGCGUAGAUAUCAGAAAGGAACAUCAAUGGCGAAGGCAACUUUCUGGACCAAUACUGACGCUGAGGUACGAAAGCGUGGGUAGCAAACAGGAUUAGAUACCCUGGUAGUCCACGCCGUAAACGAUGAUAACUAGCCGUUGGGGGGGAUUUACCCCUUAGUGGCGAAGCUAACGCGUUAAGUUAUCCGCCUGGGGAGUACGGCCGCAAGGUUAAAACUCAAAGGAAUUGACGGGGACCCGCACAAGCGGUGGAGCAUGUGGUUUAAUUCGAUGCAACGCGAAGAACCUUACCUGGUCUUGACAUCCUGCGAACUUUCUAGAAAUAGAUUGGUGCCUUCGGGAACGCAGUGACAGGUGCUGCAUGGCUGUCGUCAGCUCGUGUCGUGAGAUGUUGGGUUAAGUCCCGUAACGAGCGCAACCCCUAUCCUUAUUUGCCAGCACAUCAUGGUGGGAACUAUAAGGAGACUGCCGGUGAUAAACCGGAGGAAGGCGGGGACGACGUCAAGUCAUCAUGGCCCUUACGACCAGGGCUACACACGUGCUACAAUGGGAAGGACAAAGAGCCGCGAAGCCGCGAGGUGUAGCUAAUCUCAGAAACCUUUUCGUAGUCCGGAUUGGAGUCUGCAACUCGACUCCAUGAAGUCGGAAUCGCUAGUAAUCGUAGAUCAGAAUGCUACGGUGAAUACGUUCCCGGGUCUUGUACACACCGC
This 1377-nucleotide ribosomal RNA is filed under the name uncultured bacterium. Its description in RNAcentral is "bacterial SSU rRNA". It matches the Rfam family "Bacterial small subunit ribosomal RNA", at positions 27 to 1393 of the family's 1533-position model. The record is from RNAcentral.